UACGAAGGGGGCUAGCGUUGUUCGGAAUUACUGGGCGUAAAGGGCGCGUAGGCGGCGUGUCAAGUCAGGCGUGAAAGCCCCGGGCUCAACCUGGGAACCGCGCUUGAGACUGGCAUGCUCGAGUUCGGGAGAGGAUGGUGGAAUUCCCAGUGUAGAGGUGAAAUUCGUAGAUAUUGGGAAGAACACCGAUGGCGAAGGCAGCCAUCUGGACCGACACUGACGCUGAGGCGCGAAAGCGUCGGGGAGCAAACAGG
This 254-nucleotide ribosomal RNA is filed under the name uncultured bacterium. Its description in RNAcentral is "partial 16S ribosomal RNA". It matches the Rfam family "Bacterial small subunit ribosomal RNA", at positions 524 to 776 of the family's 1533-position model. The record is from RNAcentral.